This 814-nucleotide ribosomal RNA is filed under the name uncultured bacterium. RNAcentral's name for it is "bacterial SSU rRNA". It matches the Rfam family "Bacterial small subunit ribosomal RNA", at positions 8 to 824 of the family's 1533-position model. The record is from RNAcentral.
AGAGUUUGAUCAUGGCUCAGGAUAAACGCUGGCGGCGCACAUAAGACAUGCAAGUCGAACGGACAGAAUCCGAAUGUUUCAUUUGGGGGAUGUUAGUGGCGGACUGGUGAGUAACGCGUAAGGAACCUGCCUAUUAGAGGGGAAUAACAGUGAGAAAUCAUUGCUAAUACCGCAUAUACCAUAAUAGUUGCAUGACUGAAAUGGGAAGGGAGAAAUCCGCUAAUAGAUGGCCUUGCGUCUGAUUAGGUAGUUGGUGGGGUAAAGGCCUACCAAGCCGACGAUCAGUAGCCGGACUGAGAGGUUGAACGGCCACAUUGGGACUGAGAUACGGCCCAGACUCCUACGGGAGGCAGCAGUCGGGAAUAUUGCGCAAUGGAGGAAACUCUGACGCAGUGACGCCGCGUAUAGGAAGAAGGUUUUCGGAUUGUAAACUAUUGUCGUUAGGGAAGAGAAAGGACAGUACCUAAGGAGGAAGCUCCGGCUAACUACGUGCCAGCAGCCGCGGUAAUACGUAGGGAGCAAGCGUUAUCCGGAAUUAUUGGGUGUAAAGGGUGCGUAGACGGGAAUACAAGUUAGUUGUGAAAUCCCUCGGCUUAACUGAGGAACUGCAACUAAAACUAUAUUUCUUGAGUGCAGGAGAGGUAAUUGGAAUUCCUAGUGUAGCGGUGAAAUGCGUAGAUAUUAGGAGGAACACCAGUGGCGAAGGCGACUUACUGGACUGUAACUGACGUUGAGGCACGAAAGUGUGGGGAGCAAACAGGAUUAGAUACCCUGGUAGUCCAGGGCGAUUCGUUAACCUGCAGGACUAGUCCUU